AACGAACGCUGGCGGCAUGCCUAACACAUGCAAGUCGAACGAGACCUUCGGGUCUAGUGGCGCACGGGUGCGUAACGCGUGGGAACCUGCCCUUAGGUUCGGAAUAACUCCCCGAAAGGGGUGCUAAUACCGGAUAAUGUCUUCGGACCAAAGAUUUAUCGCCUUUUGAUGGGCCCGCGUUGGAUUAGCUAGUUGGUAGGGUAAAAGCCUACCAAGGCGACGAUCCAUAGCUGGUCUGAGAGGAUGAUCAGCCACACUGGGACUGAGACACGGCCCAGACUCCUACGGGAGGCAGCAGUGGGGAAUAUUGGACAAUGGGCGAAAGCCUGAUACAGCAAUGCCGCGUGAGUGAUGAAGGCCUUAGGGUUGUAAAGCUCUUUUACCCGGGAUGAUAAUGACAGUACCGGGAGAAUAAGCACCGGCUAACUACGUG
Molecule: ribosomal RNA, 433 nt
Filed under: uncultured bacterium
Lineage: Bacteria
Description: partial 16S ribosomal RNA
Rfam family: Bacterial small subunit ribosomal RNA
Source: RNAcentral